This is a long non-coding RNA of Morone saxatilis (striped sea-bass), 4688 nucleotides long. RefSeq lists it as uncharacterized. The record is from RefSeq and is a predicted model, not a curated record. The transcript has 2 exons. Lineage: Eukaryota; Metazoa; Chordata; Actinopteri; Moronidae.
UGACAAAAAGUUAUUUUUAUAAAAAUAGCAACUGCAGCUUUAAGUAAAAGUACUAAUAUCACACUAUAUAUGUAUAUAUAUAAUAUGACUGAAUAUGAAGCUACUGCUAGUCUCCAUUUGUUCGGUUCUCUGGGAAUCCUCAUUUUCCAUCCUUCCUCAAAACAAAAAACACAAAAAGAAAUCUGGAGUUGAAGGAGGAGAGAAGGUUUAAGGAAACAAAAGAUAUGCAGGAGGAGAGGAGGGCAAGUUCAAUCUGACAUCAUAAAUUACCAGCAGCUCUUUAUCCCCUUCAUCAAUUUUUCAGAUGAGUCGGUGGAUCGAUGCGGCCGGCUCUCCUUCGCUCUAUUAAUUUCGACGUGAUGCCUUCAGUUGUCCUCCUUUUGCAGAGAAACACUGAGCCUGAUACCACGGUGUAGAAAUACUCUAUUACCAGUUAAAGACAUCUAUUCAUAAUGUCGCAAAAGUAUGAGAAGCCAAAAGAACCAAAAGUAAAAGCAGAAUGAACCAUUCCAGAAUAAUAUACAUGAUAUUAUUGCAUUAUAAUUAUUGAUGAAUUAAUGUGUUCAGCACUUUAAUUUUGCAGCUGGUAAAUGUGGAGCUCAUUUUAAUGAUUUUAUAUACUGCUGAGUCGUCUAAUCAGUGUUUUUCAAAGAAAAUCUGAGGGAAGAUGCUUAUUUUUUUCUAAACAGAAUUUAAUUACUGAUCCCCGGACGUUCAUCAAUCUGCAAUGUAACUAAAACUGUCAAAAUAAAGUUGAGUAGAAGUAUAAAAUGGCAUAAAAUGGAAACACUCAAGUAAAUCACCUCAAAAUUGUACUUUCCAUCAGUGGAGGCUUCACAUUAGAAAAUAAAGACCAGACAGAUUCUGUGUCUGAUUCUGUUUUUAUUGUCUUCAUUGUCUCAGUGUGUGAGAGCAGCUCUCAGGCAGCAGCCGUACACAUAUCUGUGGAUACUGAAUGAAAGCCAUAAUACCCACAAUAACAACAGAUUAUACCCUGUGAUAAACAAUAACACGCACACACCCCAGACGCUGCUCUUUGUUGGGAUUACGGUCACACCCAUACCUGGAAGCAUCGCUGCCAACACGAUAAUCCCGGUAUCCUCUGAGGGAUUAUCGCUCUGUUGAGUUUGAACCAAAAACCAACCUUCACUGAGCUGGAAGAGGGCCGAACAGCCGCGGGAGGCCAGAUGGAUCCUGAUGGAGGCAACGGAAUGUAUGAAAACAAAAAAAAUCAUCACAGAACCACAGGGGUCCGUUAAUGGACUUGGAUGAAUGUAAUGGGUCUAAAUGACCGUUAAUAACCUUUCAAAUCUGCACAAAAAGCAUAAAAACCCCUUAAUUACUCACCUCCAUCAACAAAUGAAUAAAUAAAUAAUAACCCAGGAACAAAUCUUUUAAAAACAUCUGAUACUAACUCUUAACUUUUGAGUUCAUCACUGUUGCAGGAGCAGAGGAAGGAUUUCUGGUCCAAUUCUAGCUGCUUCCGAGGUUACACAAAGAAGAGAAAAUGUCUAAAAAAGACCAAAUGUUCAGCAGAGUAUAAUGAAUGAUCAAUGUCGGAAACGAUGAGUAGUGAUUAAUACAAAACAUCCACAUUGAUUACAAUAAAACAUUUACCAAAUAAAUGAAGAACAAUGAGCCCGACGAAUAUCAACAAUACAAACAAUAUUAAGAUUGAUCUUCAUAUCUUCCAGGAAACUUCCAGAACGGGAUCGCAGAGGGGGAGGUGGACCCCACAUUCGGGCCCCUGGAGGCCAUGCGUCUCUCAGUGAUGACGGACUCGCCGGUCUGGGUGAUCCUCAGCGAGAUUUUCAUAAAGAAAGCAGACUGAAGCUCCUCUCCCCCCUCAGCGAUACCUCAGCACCUCCGAGCGUUCAGCUGAGCUGACCGGAGGCUCAUCAGCUGCCGUCCUGCUCACCAGAUCCCCACCGCGGUGCCACAGCACCGCCAUCUGGCCGGACUUCGCCACUGCAGGGCUGAUUGGAUCAGAGACUGAAAACACAGAUCACACAGCUGAUGAUAACAGCGUCUGCCACGACAUGCAAAAAGAGAAAUGAUGCUGUAAUUAACCUGAAGAGUCUGUAUUUAUGUGUACAUACAGUUAGUAAAUGUUAAACACUGGUGAUUGUGGAGGCGGCAGCGAGAGCGCCGCUCCACUUCUGAUGCUGAAACUGCUGCUUCAAAAGACUCAAAGGCUUCUUUCUAUGAGCAGAUGGUCGGUCCAGACCUUUCUACCAACCCUUUCCCACCAGUAUACCCCUUCAGUACCCCCUCAGUACCCCUGUAUGUGCGUAUAUGCAUAGAGAUGUACACACUAUCAUAUGAAUGCCCUCAGUGUGUCGAUAUGUGUCUGUCGUUGCUGCUCGGGUUUUACACCUUCUCCCUCCAUCAGUGAGCGAUUUGCCUUAACGAAGAGCAGAACAGAAACGAGCCCCAGACUGAAACAUGUAGCCACAACAAAUACCUAGAAUCCUCUGCUGCGACCUCGGACCUUCUCACAUCUUUGUGGCUUGAAACUACUGACGAUGACAGCUGAUCCUUUUCUUUUUUAUGAAUCUUUAAAAGUUGUUUUAUUUUAAGUUUACUGAGGCCUUGUCACUGACUGCUCUGUUCUACUGCACAGUACUUCAUAGUGCUUUACAGUACUCUAAAGUACUCUAGAGUACUCAAAUCUACUGCACAGUACUCUAUAAAGUACUCUAAGGUACUUUCCAGUACUCUGAUGUACUCUACAGUACUCUGAUGUAUUUUAUAGUACUCUUACGUACUCUAAUGUACUUUACAGUUCUAUACAGUAGUAGUAGUUUCCUCUGCUGUGCUCUGUAGUACUUUACUGUACUUUAUUGUACUUGUAGUCCAGUGCAGAAAUACAGAUUCAGAUCUUUUCUUGUCUUUCUUUCCGUUUUCAGUCUCUAAUAAAUAGUUAAAUUAUAAAAUUCUCCAAUAGUUUAAUUGUAUUUUUCCGUAAACACGCUGUCUUUUCCCACUUUCAGUCAGACUCACAUUGGCUCAGACGACACAAAUGUUCCCUUAAAUGAAUCAUUUGUGCAACUUUUCAGACCUUUUUUGUUCCCUUAAAUUUGAUAUUUGGUGCCUCCGCUGAUCGUCUUCGCUCCCUGAGCACCGGAUGGAUUUAUUUCAGUUUGAUUAUAACACUGAAUGGUUUGAAGUGUACUGCAGUGAACUUCCACACAGGGAUCUUUUAGACAUCGAUGUUCUUCCAGAUUUGUGUCUCUUUCAACACAACAAAGCCUCCAUAAAGAAACCGUUUCCCAGUUCGGUGCCGAAGAACUUGAACCCAUCCAACCCCUCUGUGAGUCGGACCUGAUCACCAGCAUCAGUGCUGGACCUCUUUAGUGGAUGUUCCCUGCAGCUGGUUCACAUCUGGUGACUGAAAGCAGCUUGUUAAUGAAAAUGAUGGUUAUACGGAGGAAGAUCAGCUGUCCACAUACUUCUGGCGUUUACUACACGUUACUUAUGUAAUGUUAACCUUAAAAAACAUUUAUUAUAUUUUCCAGUUACAUUAAGUGUGUUUAUAUUAGCACAGGUAUCCUGGAUCAGGUUUUUGGAGUUACGUGUUGAGCGUGUAAACAUCCUGGUUUCAGAGACCUGGAUAAGAUCUUAUAAAGACCUGAUCCAGGUUUCAUUCUUUGAGGUUCAGAACAGGUGAUGAGAAACCUGCGUACUGUUAAGAUCUUGUAAACACGGAAAUAAUUAUCCAUGUAAACAUCAUAUCCAGGAGUUAGCUUGUGAGUUAGCAUUAGUUAGCUAGAUGCUAAUAAGUUAGCUAAAGCUACAUUUCAAGAGUAACACGCCAACACUGACAGUUUAUGUGUUUAAUGAUGUUCCGACUGGCUGGAAAUUAUAAAGAUAGGGAAAUAAGAUUUUGAUAUGUUAUAUAUAUUAUUAAAAAUUAUAUUUUAUUAUAACACACACUGUAAGCUGGUUUGGUUGUGAAGCUUUAAGUUGCCGAUAAACCUGAUAAAAUGUUGUUAGUAUAAUAAAAUAUUUUCUCAGCAGUGAGUGAGACCGUGUGCAGGAAUCUCUGAUGGCACUGUACAGUCGCUGUAGUACUCGAGUCUCCAGACAUUCAUUGUCUCGAACUGGUCGGUCAUGUUGUUGUUUUUUCUGAAGUAACUUCCUCCUUCAAAAUAAAACUAUUAGUGAAGAGCACUUGUUCAGAAAACCAGGUGUUAAUACAUUUAAAUUCUUAAAAUCUCAUUGUCAAUGUCAACAGCAUUCUAGUCCUAGUCUUGGACCUCUUUGUUCGACUCAUCUGUCACACAUUAUUUUCUAUAAAACCAAAUUUAACCCACAAAUUGAGUCACACCAACAAACCCAGUUCUCUAUUGUUAAAUAGCACCAAUUAUUGAUUUAAGGGAACAGAACCAGUCAUUUAAAGGGGCAAACAUUCCCUCCAACACCUCCCAGACUGUAAUUAUUAUUUAUCUCACCCUUUCUGUCACACGUGGAUUCACUCACAGACCCAACAGAACCUCUCAGAUCUGAGCUGAGCGCCUCCGAGCUUCAGGAAACGUCCCGCCUCUUCUUUUCUGUUCUUUGUAAGAUGCACUGGAAUGCAUUGCUAUACUCUUGUGUUUGUCUUUUGUACCCUUUAGAUAAACUCUAUUUAAAUGAUCUUUAACUUCUACCCAAUCUGUGAAUUGUAAUAAAGACAGACAUUUAAA